RNAcentral lists this antisense RNA (69 nucleotides) under Streptomyces sp. NRRL B-1568. Its description in RNAcentral is "ASpks sRNA". It matches the Rfam family "ASpks TB sRNA". Lineage: Bacteria; Bacillati; Actinomycetota; Actinomycetes; Kitasatosporales; Streptomycetaceae. The record is from RNAcentral.
CUUCAACGAGCCGAGCCACAGCGGCUGUUCGCGGCCCUGUCCGUAGGUGGCCAGCAGCGCCUCGGCCUC